CUACGGGGGGCUGCAGUGGGGAAUAUUGCACAAUGGGCGCAAGCCUGAUGCAGCCAUGCCGCGUGUACGAAGAAGGCCUUCGGGUUGUAAAGUACUUUCAGCGGGGAGGAAGGGAGUAAAGUUAAUACCUUUGCUCAUUGACGUUACCCGCAGAAGAAGCACCGGCUAACUCCGUGCCAGCAGCCGCGGUAAUACGGAGGGUGCAAGCGUUAAUCGGAAUUACUGGGCGUAAAGCGCACGCAGGCGGUUUGUUAAGUCAGAUGUGAAAUCCCCGGGCUCAACCUGGGAACUGCAUCUGAUACUGGCAAGCUUGAGUCUCGUAGAGGGGGGUAGAAUUCCAGGUGUAGCGGUGAAAUGCGUAGAGAUCUGGAGGAAUACCGGUGGCGAAGGCGGCCCCCUGGACGAAGACUGACGCUCAGGUGCGAAAGCGUGGGGAGCAAACAGGAUUAGAUACCCUUGUAGUC
Molecule: ribosomal RNA, 464 nt
Filed under: uncultured bacterium
Lineage: Bacteria
Description: partial 16S ribosomal RNA
Rfam family: Bacterial small subunit ribosomal RNA
Source: RNAcentral